UAGACAAUUUCUAAGUUCUACCCUUUCUUUUCUUCAUCUCAAAUCCCAAAUAUACACCCAUUUUCAUCUCUUACCCAAUGAACACUCUUUUCUUUUCUUUUCUUUGUCUUAACAACUAUGUAUCUUAGCUCAAAAAAUUGUUAUCCCCAUUCUCUUAUUUAUUUAUUUUUUUUUUCUUUUUGGGGUUUUUAUUGACACAAUCUAAGCUAUCUCCAUUUUUUUUUUUUUUUUUUAAGACACACUUUUUUGAUUCAUUUCCUUUACAUAAUCUUUCCCAAUUCAAUCGUCAAGAUCAAAAUAAUUAAAGCACAUCAUUCCAACCACCAUCCUAGAUGCUAGCCCAAAACAUGUCCUAAUGCUAGCAAGAGAUGAGA
Molecule: long non-coding RNA, 374 nt
Filed under: Brassica napus (rape)
Lineage: Eukaryota; Viridiplantae; Streptophyta; Magnoliopsida; Brassicales; Brassicaceae
Description: long non-coding RNA (BNAP_LNC024201)
Source: RNAcentral